RNAcentral lists this ribosomal RNA (253 nucleotides) under uncultured bacterium. RNAcentral describes it as "partial 16S ribosomal RNA". It matches the Rfam family "Bacterial small subunit ribosomal RNA", at positions 524 to 776 of the family's 1533-position model. The record is from RNAcentral.
UACGGGGGGAGCAAGCGUUGUUCGGAUUCAUUGGGCGUAAAGGGUGCGUAGGUGGCGCGCUAAGUCAGGUGUGAAAUUUCGGAGCUUAACUCCGAAACUGCAUUUGAUACUGGCGUGCUUGAGGACUGGAGAGGAGACUGGAAUUCACGGUGUAGCAGUGAAAUGCGUAGAUAUCGUGAGGAAGACCAGUGGCGAAGGCGGGUCUCUGGACAGUUCCUGACACUGAGGCACGAAGGCCAGGGGAGCAAACGGG